AUGGCUCGUGCUCCUCUGCUAGCAGCAGUGGUAGUGGCGAGCUCGCUUGGGCCUGGGGCUUCUGCGGCCGAGCCUCCGGUGGCACGCGGCCUGUCGUUCGACUUCUACCGGCGGACCUGCCCGCGGGCGGAGUCCAUCGUGCGCGAGUUCGUCCAGGACGCCGUGCGCAAGGACAUCGGCCUCGCCGCGGGCCUCCUCCGCCUCCACUUCCACGACUGCUUCGUGCAGGGCUGCGACGCCUCCGUGCUGCUCGACGGCUCGGCCACGGGGCCGGGGGAGCAGCAGGCGCCGCCCAACCUCACGCUCCGCCCAUCCGCCUUCAAGGCCGUCAAUGACAUCCGUGACCGGCUGGAGCGCGAGUGCCGCGGGGCCGUCGUCUCCUGCGCCGACAUCCUCGCGCUCGCCGCCCGCGACUCCGUGGUCGUCUCCGGCGGGCCUGACUACCGCGUGCCCCUCGGCCGCCGCGACAGCCGCAGGUUUGCCACGCGGCAGGACGUCCUGUCCGACCUGCCGGCGCCGUCCUCGAACGUGCCGUCCCUCCUCGCCUUGCUC
RNAcentral lists this ribosomal RNA (552 nucleotides) under Triticum aestivum (bread wheat). RNAcentral's name for it is "partial small subunit ribosomal RNA". The record is from RNAcentral. Lineage: Eukaryota; Viridiplantae; Streptophyta; Magnoliopsida; Poales; Poaceae.